GACGAACGCUGGCGGCGUGCUUAACACAUGCAAGUCGAACGGAAAGGCCCUGCUUUUGUGGGUUGCUCGAGUGGCGAACGGGUGAGUAACACGUGAGUAACCUGCCCUUGACUUUGGGAUAACUUCAGGAAACUGGGGCUAAUACCGGAUAGGAGCUCCUGCUGCAUGGUGGGGGUUGGAAAGUUUCGGCGGUUGGGGACGGACUCGCGGCUUAUCAGCUUGUUGGUGGGGUAGUGGCUUACCAAGGCUUUGACGGGUAGCCGGCCUGAGAGGGUGACCGGCCACAUUGGGGCUGAGAGACGGCCCAGACACCUACGGGAGGGAGGAGUGGGGAAUAUUGCAGAAUAGGCGGACGCCUGUGGCAGCAACGCCGCGUGCGGGAUGACGGCCUUCGGGUUGUAAACCGCUUUCGCCUGUGACGAAGCGUGAGUGACGGUAAUGGGUAAAGAAGCACCGGCUAACUACGUG
RNAcentral lists this ribosomal RNA (468 nucleotides) under uncultured bacterium. Its description in RNAcentral is "partial 16S ribosomal RNA". It matches the Rfam family "Bacterial small subunit ribosomal RNA", at positions 28 to 507 of the family's 1533-position model. The record is from RNAcentral.